GAUGAACGCUAGCGGCAGGCUUAACACAUGCAAGUCGAGGGGUAACAGGUUGGUGCUUGCACUAAUGCUGACGACCGGCGCACGGGUGCGUAACGCGUAUAGAACCUACCUUAUAGUAAGGGAUAGCCCAGAGAAAUUUGGAUUAAUACCUUAUAGUAUCAUAAAUCAGCAUUGGUUAAUGAUUAAAGAUUUAUCGCUAUAAGAUGGCUAUGCGUUCUAUUAGCUAGUUGGUAUGGUAACGGCAUACCAAGGCGACGAUAGAUAGGGGUCCUGAGAGGGAGAUCCCCCACACUGGUACUGAGACACGGACCAGACUCCUACGGGAGGCAGCAGUGAGGAAUAUUGGACAAUGGAGGCAACUCUGAUCCAGCCAUGCCGCGUGUAGGAAGACUGCCCUAUGGGUUGUAAACUACUUUUAUAGAGGAAGAAACCGCUCUACGUGUAGAGCUCUGACGGUACUCUACGAAUAAGGAUCGGCUAACUCCG
Molecule: ribosomal RNA, 486 nt
Filed under: uncultured Aquimarina sp.
Lineage: Bacteria; Pseudomonadati; Bacteroidota; Flavobacteriia; Flavobacteriales; Flavobacteriaceae
Description: bacterial SSU rRNA
Rfam family: Bacterial small subunit ribosomal RNA
Source: RNAcentral